CUAAGUUUGAUGACGACCGGCGCACGGGUGAGUAACACGUAUCCAACCCGCCGAUGACUCGGGGAUAGCCUUUCGAAAGAAAGAUUAAUACCCGAUGGCAUAGUUCUUCCGCAUGGUGGAACUAUUAAAGAAUUUCGGUCAUCGAUGGGGAUGCGUUCCAUUAGGUUGUUGGCGGGGUAACGGCCCACCAAGCCUUCGAUGGAUAGGGGUUCUGAGAGGAAGGUCCCCCACAUUGGAACUGAGACACGGUCCAAACUCCUACGGGAGGCAGCAUG
Molecule: ribosomal RNA, 275 nt
Filed under: uncultured bacterium
Lineage: Bacteria
Description: partial 16S ribosomal RNA
Rfam family: Bacterial small subunit ribosomal RNA
Source: RNAcentral